This 467-nucleotide ribosomal RNA is filed under the name uncultured Anaerolineaceae bacterium. RNAcentral's name for it is "bacterial SSU rRNA". It matches the Rfam family "Bacterial small subunit ribosomal RNA", at positions 900 to 1382 of the family's 1533-position model. Lineage: Bacteria; Bacillati; Chloroflexota; Anaerolineae; Anaerolineales; Anaerolineaceae. The record is from RNAcentral.
CUCAAAGGAAUUGACGGGACCCGCACAAGCAGCGGAGCGUGUGGUUUAAUUCGUUGCUACACGAAGAACCUUACCUGGGUUUGACAUAUAGGUUGUAGGGAACUGAAAAGGGACCGACCCUUCGGGGAGCCUAUACAGGUGUUGCAUGGCUGUCGUCAGCUCGUGUCGUGAGAUGUUCGGUUAAGUCCGCUAACGAGCGCAACCCUCGUCGUAUGUUAUAUGUGUCAUACGAGACUGCCGGUAAAAGCCGGAGGAAGGUGAGGAUGAUGUCAAGUCAGCAUGACCUUUAUAUCCAGGGCUACACACACGCUACAAUGGUCUGUACAAUGGGUAGCCAAGCCGCGAGGCGGAGCCAAUCCUGAAAGCAGGCCUCAGUUCAGAUUGCAGUCUGCAACUCGACCGCAUGAAGCCGGAGUUGCUAGUAACCGCAGGUCAGCAAUACUGCGGUGAACACGUUCCCGGGUCUU